GAACGCUGGCGGCGUGCUUAACACAUGCAAGUCGAACGGAAAGGCCCUGCUUUUGUGGGGUGCUCGAGUGGCGAACGGGUGAGUAACACGUGAGUAACCUGCCCUUGACUUUGGGAUAACUUCAGGAAACUGGGGCUAAUACCGGAUAGGAGCUCCUGCUGCAUGGUGGGGGUUGGAAAGUUUCGGCGGUUGGGGAUGGACUCGCGGCUUAUCAGCUUGUUGGUGGGGUAGUGGCUUACCAAGGCUUUGACGGGUAGCCGGCCUGAGAGGGUGACCGGCCACAUUGGGACUGAGAUACGGCCCAGACUCCUACGGGAGGCAGCAGUGGGGAAUAUUGCACAAUGGGCGGAAGCCUGAUGCAGCAACGCCGCGUGCGGGAUGACGGCCUUCGGGUUGUAAACCGCUUUCGCCUGUGACGAAGCGUGAGUGACGGUAAUGGGUAAAGAAGCACCGGCUAACUACGUGCCAGCAGCCGCGGUGAUACGUAGGGUGCGAGCGUUGUCCGGAUUUAUUGGGCGUAAAGGGCUCGUAGGUGGUUGAUCGCGUCGGAAGUGUAAUCUUGGGGCUUAACCCUGAGCGUGCUUUCGAUACGGGUUGACUUGAGGAAGGUAGGGGAGAAUGGAAUUCCUGGUGGAGCGGUGGAAUGCGCAGAUAUCAGGAGGAACACCAGUGGCGAAGGCGGUUCUCUGGGCCUUUCCUGACGCUGAGGAGCGAAAGCGUGGGGAGCGAACAGGCUUAGAUACCCUGGUAGCCCACGCUGUAAACGGUGGGUACUAGGUGUGGGGUCCAUUCCACGGGUUCCGUGCCGUAGCUAACGCUUUAAGUACCCCGCCUGGGGAGUACGGCCGCAAGGCUAAAACUCAAAGGAAUUGACGGGGCCCCGCACAAGCGGCGGAGCAUGCGGAUUAAUUCGAUGCAACGCGUAGAACCUUACCUGGGUUUGACAUGGAUCGGGAGUGCUCAGAGAUGGGUGUGCCUCUUUUGGGGUCGGUUCACAGGUGGUGCAUGCCUGUCGUCAGCUCGUGUCGUGAGAUGUUGGGUUAAGUCCCGCAACGAGCGCAACCCUUGUUCACUGUUGCCAGCACGUUAUGGUGGGGACUCAGUGGAGACCGCCGGGGUCAACUCGGGGGAAGGUGGGGAUGACGUCAAGUCCUCAUGCCCCUUAUGUCCAGGGCUUCACGCAUGCUACAAUGGCUGGUACAGAGAGUGGCGAGCCUGUGAGGGUGAGCGAAUCUCGGAAAGCCGGUCUCAGUUCGGAUUGGGGUCUGCAACUCGACCUCAUGAAGUCGGAGUCGCUAGUAAUCGCAGAUCAGCAACGCUGCGGUGAAUACGUUCCCGGGGCUUGUACACACCGCCCGUCAAGUCAUGAAAGUUGGUAACACCCGAAGCCGGUGGCCUAACCGUUGUGGGGGAGCCGUCGAAGGUGGGACUGGUGAUUAGGACUA
Molecule: ribosomal RNA, 1445 nt
Filed under: uncultured organism
Description: 16S ribosomal RNA
Rfam family: Bacterial small subunit ribosomal RNA
Source: RNAcentral